UUCCUCUGACGUUGUACCAUU
RNAcentral lists this non-coding RNA (21 nucleotides) under Caenorhabditis elegans. Lineage: Eukaryota; Metazoa; Nematoda; Chromadorea; Rhabditida; Rhabditidae. The record is from RNAcentral.